AAGACUUUAGAUAUGAUCCAGAGUACCACGGGACACGUGAAACCCUGUGGGAAGCAGGAGGGACCACCCUCCAAGGCUAAAUACUACCUAGUGACCGAUAGCGUAUAGUACCGUGAGGGAAAGGUGAAAAGAACCCCGGGAGGGGAGUGAAAUAGAACCUGAAACCCUGCACUUACAAGCUGUGGAAGCACAUUUCUUGUGUGAACGCGUACUUUUUGUAGAACGGGCCAACGAGUUACGUUAAGUAGCAAGGUUAAGCACUUAAGGUGCGGAGCCGUAGCGAAAGCGAGUUUUAACUGAGCGUUCAGUUACUUGACGUAGACCCGAAACCGGGCGACCUACCCAUGAGCAGGAGGAAGCGAAAGUAAAAUUUCGUGGAGGUCCGAACCCACGGGCGUUGAAAAGCUCGGGGAUGACUUGUGGGUAGCGGUGAAAUUCCAAUCGAGCCCGGAGAUAGCUGGUUCUCCCCGAAAUAGCUUUAGGGCUAGCCUCAAGGUGAGAGAUACGGAGGUAGAGCACUGAAUGUCCUAGGGG
This 534-nucleotide ribosomal RNA is filed under the name Clostridioides difficile. RNAcentral's name for it is "bacterial LSU rRNA". It matches the Rfam family "Bacterial large subunit ribosomal RNA", at positions 390 to 925 of the family's 2925-position model. Lineage: Bacteria; Bacillati; Bacillota; Clostridia; Peptostreptococcales; Peptostreptococcaceae. The record is from RNAcentral.